GACGAACGCUGGCGGCGUGCUUAACACAUGCAAGUCGAGCGGUAAGGCCCUUUCGGGGGUACGACGAGCGGCGAACGGGUGGAGUAACACGUGGGUGGACCUCGCCCUCCAGCUCUGGGAGUAAGCCUGGGAAACCGGGGUCUAAUACUGGAUAUGACUCCAUGACGCAUGUUGUGGGGUGGAAAGCCUUGUGCGGCUGAGGAUGGGCCCGCGGCCUAUCAGCUUGUUGGUGGGGUGAUGGCCUACCAAGGCGACGACGGGUAGCCGG
Molecule: ribosomal RNA, 268 nt
Filed under: uncultured bacterium
Lineage: Bacteria
Description: partial 16S ribosomal RNA
Rfam family: Bacterial small subunit ribosomal RNA
Source: RNAcentral